AGAAUCAACGCUGGCGGCGUGCCUAACACAUGCAAGUCGCACGAGAAAGUGGAGCAAUCCAUGAGUAAAGUGGCGACCGGGUGAGUAACACGUGACUACCUACCCUUGAGUGGGGGAUAACCUCGGGAAACCGAGGCUAAUACCGCAUAAUAUCGAAAGAUCAAAGGAGUAAUCCGCUUUUGGAGGGGGUCGCGGCUGAUUAGCUAGUUGGUAAGGUAAUGGCUUACCAAGGCGAAGAUCGGUAGCCGGCCUGAGAGGGCACACGGCCACACUGGCACUGAAACACGGGCCAGACUCCUACGGGAGGCAGCAGUGGGGAAUCUUGCACAAUGGAGGAAACUCUGAUGCAGCGACGCCGCGUGAGCGAUGAAGCCCUUCGGGGUGUAAAGCUCUUUCGACGGGAACGAUAAUGACGGUACCCGAAGAAGAAGCUGCGGCUAACUACGUGCCAGCAGCCGCGGUAAUACGUAGGCAGCGAGCGUUGUUCGGAAUUACUGGGCGUAAAGAGUGUGUAGGUGGUGCUCUAAGUUUGGUGUGAAAUCUCCCGGCUUAACUGGGAGGGUGCAUCGAAAACUGGAGUGCUUGAGUAUGGGAGAGGUAAGCGGAAUUCCUGGUGUAGCGGUGAAAUGCGUAGAUAUCAGGAGGAACACCUGUGGUGUAGACAGCUUACUGGACCAUCACUGACACUGAGACACGAAAGCGUGGGUAGCAAACAGGAUUAGAUACCCUGGUAGUCCACGCCCUAAACGAUGCAUACUUGGUGUGAGCCAUUCAUUUGGUUCGUGCCGGAGCUAACGCGUUAAGUAUGCCGCCUGGGGAGUACGGUCGCAAGGCUGAA
RNAcentral lists this ribosomal RNA (838 nucleotides) under uncultured bacterium. Its description in RNAcentral is "bacterial SSU rRNA". It matches the Rfam family "Bacterial small subunit ribosomal RNA", at positions 26 to 898 of the family's 1533-position model. The record is from RNAcentral.